This 253-nucleotide ribosomal RNA is filed under the name uncultured bacterium. RNAcentral's name for it is "partial 16S ribosomal RNA". It matches the Rfam family "Bacterial small subunit ribosomal RNA", at positions 524 to 776 of the family's 1533-position model. The record is from RNAcentral.
GACGAACCGUGCGAACGUUGUUCGGAAUCACUGGGCUUAAAGGGCGCGUAGGCGGGUCAGCCAGUCCGGGGUGAAAUCCUUCGGCUUAACCGGAGAACUGCCUCGGAGACGACUGAUCUGGAGGGAGGUAGGGGCGGCCGGAACUUCCGGUGGAGCGGUGAAAUGCGUUGAUAUCGGAAGGAACGCCGGUGGCGAAAGCGGGCCGCUGGACCUCUACUGACGCUGAUGCGCGAAAGCCAGGGGAGCGAACGGG